AUUGACGUUACCCGCAGAAGAAGCACCGGCUAACUCCGUGCCAGCAGCCGCGGUAAUACGGAGGGUGCAAGCGUUAAUCGGAAUUACUGGGCGUAAAGCGCACGCAGGCGGUUUGUUAAGUCUGAUGUGAAAUCCCCGGGCUCAACCGGGGAACUGCAUUGGAAACUGGGAGGCUUGAGUCUUGUAGAGGGGGGUAGAAUUCCAGGUGUAGCGGUGAAAUGCGUAGAGAUCUGGAGGAAUACCGGUGGCGAAGGCGGCCCCCUGGACAGAGACUGACGCUCAGGUGCGAAAGCGUGGGGAGCAAACAGGAUUAGAUACCCCCGGUAGUCAA
This 331-nucleotide ribosomal RNA is filed under the name Pantoea agglomerans. RNAcentral's name for it is "bacterial SSU rRNA". It matches the Rfam family "Bacterial small subunit ribosomal RNA", at positions 468 to 797 of the family's 1533-position model. Lineage: Bacteria; Pseudomonadati; Pseudomonadota; Gammaproteobacteria; Enterobacterales; Erwiniaceae. The record is from RNAcentral.